ACAGCAACUGGAAAACGACUGAAUGACACGGCAACACCAUCAAUUCAGAAAUUACGCAUCCAAUGCAGUGACUCAUCGCUCAACAUUGAAGAGUCAAGUGAUGCACAGCAUGAUCUGCCUGAACCAGAGGAAACCUUUUUUGAGGGUGUUCCUCAUUCAACCCCCCAGAAGCAAAAAGCUGAGGAGACAACAUCUACAUUCCGAGCACCCUUGCCUGUCCAGCUAGCCAGUCCUUCACACGCACGUCCUCCCAAAAGAGCUGUCCUGGCUCCCAUGUGGACAAAGCAAUCAGACACUGCAUCUUCAUCGACAACGAUGGCCACCA
Long non-coding RNA from Neoarius graeffei (lesser salmon catfish), 325 nucleotides. RefSeq lists it as uncharacterized. NCBI's taxonomy places the organism in Eukaryota, Metazoa, Chordata, Actinopteri, Siluriformes, Ariidae. The record is from RefSeq and is a predicted model, not a curated record. The transcript has 3 exons.